RNAcentral lists this ribosomal RNA (207 nucleotides) under uncultured bacterium. RNAcentral's name for it is "partial 16S ribosomal RNA". It matches the Rfam family "Bacterial small subunit ribosomal RNA", at positions 307 to 526 of the family's 1533-position model. The record is from RNAcentral.
GCCUCCCUCCGCGCCACUCAGACUCCUACCGACGAGGCAGCAGUGGGAAUCUUGGCACAAUGGGGGGCGAACCCUUGAUGCAGGCGACGCCGCGUGAGCGAUGAAGCCCUUCGGGGUGUAAAAGCCUCGUUUCGGCAAGGGAACGAUUAUGGACGGUACCUGCAGAAGCAGCUGCGGCUAACUACGUGCCAGCCGCCGCGGUAAUUC